ACUUAAGCAUAUCAAUAAGCGGAGGAAAAGAAACCAACAGGGAUUGCCCCAGUAACGGCGAGUGAAGCGGCAACAGCUCAAAUUUGAAAUCUGGCCCUCGGGUCCGAGUUGUAAUUUGUAGAGGAUGCUUUUGGCGAGGUGCCUUCCGAGUUCCCUGGAACGGGACGCCAUAGAGGGUGAGAGCCCCGUCUGGUCGGACACCGAGCCUCUGUAAAGCUCCUUCAACGAGUCGAGUAGUUUGGGAAUGCUGCUCAAAAUGGGAGGUAUAUGUCUUCUAAAGCUAAAUAUUGGCCAGAGACCGAUAGCGCACAAGUAGAGUGAUCGAAAGAUGAAAAGCACUUUGAAAAGAGGGUUAAAAAGUACGUGAAAUUGUUGAAAGGGAAGCGCCUAUGACCAGACUUGCGCCCGGUGAAUCAUCCAGCGUUCUCGCUGGUGCACUUUGCCGGGCACAGGCCAGCAUCAGUUUGGCGCGGGGGAAAAAGGCUUCGGGAAUGUGGCUCCCUCGGGAGUGUUAUAGCCCGCUGCGUAAUACCCUGCGCCGGACUGAGGUACGCGCAUCGCAAGGAUGCUGGCGUAAUGGUCAUCAGCGACCCGUCUUGAAACACGGACCAAGGAGUCGUCUUCGUAUGCGAGUGUUCGGGUGUCAAACCCCUACGCGUAAUGAAAGUGAACGUAGGUGAGAGCUUCGGCGCAUCAUCGACCGAUCCUGAUGUUCUCGGAUGGAUUUGAGUAAGAGCAUACGGGGCCGGACCCGAAAGAAGGUGAACUAUGCCUGUAUAGGGUGAAGCCAGAGGAAACUCUGGUGGAGGCUCGCAGCGGUUCUGACGUGCGAAUCGAUCGUCAAAUAUGGGCAU
This 854-nucleotide ribosomal RNA is filed under the name Beauveria bassiana. Its description in RNAcentral is "LSU rRNA". It matches the Rfam family "Eukaryotic large subunit ribosomal RNA", at positions 32 to 918 of the family's 3401-position model. The record is from RNAcentral. Lineage: Eukaryota; Fungi; Ascomycota; Sordariomycetes; Hypocreales; Cordycipitaceae.